AUUGAACGCUGGCGGAAUGCUUUACACAUGCAAGUCGAACGGCAGCACGGCCUUCGGUCUGGUGGCGAGUGGCGAACGGGUGAGUAAUGUAUCGGAACGUGCCCAGUCGUGGGGGAUAACGUAGUGAAAAUUACGCUAAUACCGCAUACGAUCUAUGGAUGACAGCGGGGGAUCGCAAGACCUCGCGCGAUUGGAGCGGCCGAUAUCAGAUUAGGUAGUUGGUGGGGUAAAGGCUCACCAAGCCAACGAUCUGUAGCUGGUCUGAGAGGACGACCAGCCACACUGGAACUGAGACACGGUCCAGACUCGUACGGGAGGCAGCAGUGGGGAAUUUUGGACAAUGGGCGAAAGCCUGAUCCAGCCAUUCCGCGUGCAGGAUGAAGGCCCUCGGGUUGUAAACUGCUUUUGUACAGAACGAAAAGGUUUCUACUAAUACUAGGAGCUCAUGACGGUACUGUAAGAAUAAGCACCGGCUAACUACGUGCCAGCCGCCGCAGUAA
Molecule: ribosomal RNA, 500 nt
Filed under: uncultured bacterium
Lineage: Bacteria
Description: partial 16S ribosomal RNA
Rfam family: Bacterial small subunit ribosomal RNA
Source: RNAcentral